GAUAAACGCUGGCGGCGUGCCUAAUACAUGCAAGUCGAGCGAACGGACGAGAAGCUUGCUUCUCUGAUGUUAGCGGCGGACGGGUGAGUAACACGUGGAUAACCUACCUAUAAGACUGGGAUAACUUCGGGAAACCGGAGCUAAUACCGGAUAAUAUUUUGAACCGCAUGGUUCAAAAGUGAAAGACGGUCUUGCUGUCACUUAUAGAUGGAUCCGCGCUGCAUUAGCUAGUUGGUAAGGUAACGGCUUACCAAGGCAACGAUGCAUAGCCGACCUGAGAGGGUGAUCGGCCACACUGGAACUGAGACACGGUCCAGACUCCUACGGGAGGCAGCAGUAGGGAAUCUUCCGCAAUGGGCGAAAGCCUGACGGAGCAACGCCGCGUGGGUGAUGAAGGUCUUCGGAUCGUAAAACUCUGUUAUUAGGGAAGAACAUAUGUGUAAGUAACUGUGCACAUCUUGACGGUACCUAAUCAGAAAGCCACGGCUAACUACGUGCCAGCAGCCGCGGUAAUACGUAGGUGGCAAGCGUUAUCCGGAAUUAUUGGGCGUAAAGCGCGCGUAGGCGGUUUUUUAAGUCUGAUGUGAAAGCCCACGGCUCAACCGUGGAGGGUCAUUGGAAACUGGAAAACUUGAGUGCAGAAGAGGAAAGUGGAAUUCCAUGUGUAGCGGUGAAAUGCGCAGAGAUAUGGAGGAACACCAGUGGCGAAGGCGACUUUCUGGUCUGUAACUGACGCUGAUGUGCGAAAGCGUGGGGAUCAAACAGGAUUAGAUACCCUGGUAGUCCACGCCGUAAACGAUGAGUGCUAAGUGUUAGGGGGUUUCCGCCCCUUAGUGCUGCAGCUAACGCAUUAAGCACUCCGCCUGGGGAGUACGACCGCAAGGUUGAAACUCAAAGGAAUUGACGGGGACCCGCACAAGCGGUGGAGCAUGUGGUUUAAUUCGAAGCAACGCGAAGAACCUUACCAAAUCUUGACAUCCUUUGACAACUCUAGAGAUAGAGCCUUCCCCUUCGGGGGACAAAGUGACAGGUGGUGCAUGGUUGUCGUCAGCUCGUGACGUGAGAUGUUGGGUUAAGUCCCGCAACGAGCGCAACCCUUAAGCUUAGUUGCCAUCAUUAAGUUGGGCACUCUAAGUUGACUGCCGGUGACAAACCGGAGGAAGGUGGGGAUGACGUCAAAUCAUCAUGCCCCUUAUGAUUUGGGCUACACACGUGCUACAAUGGACAAUACAAAGGGCAGCGAAACCGCGAGGUCAAGCAAAUCCCAUAAAGUUGUUCUCAGUUCGGAUUGUAGUCUGCAACUCGACUACAUGAAGCUGGAAUCGCUAGUAAUCGUAGAUCAGCAUGCUACGGUGAAUACGUUCCCGGGUCU
Molecule: ribosomal RNA, 1372 nt
Filed under: uncultured bacterium
Lineage: Bacteria
Description: bacterial SSU rRNA
Rfam family: Bacterial small subunit ribosomal RNA
Source: RNAcentral